GAAGUGCGAUAAGCAAUGCGAAUUGCAGAACCGCGAGUCAUCAGAUUUUUGAACGCAAGUGGCGGCAGCUUCGGCUGUCAUGUUUGUUUCAGGUGCCAUAAUUGGUUAAUUACAUCAUAGAAUAUAAUGUGAUUGAAGAAAUUCUCUCACAAAAUAUGGAAUAAUGUCAAUGAAGACUCCAAACGAACUAGUCACUAAAUGGUGAUAAUCGUUUGAGGAUCGAAAUUGGUGAAUCAUUAUUCAAAAAGAAAUUAUCCAAUUAUGGCACCUGAAAUAAGCAAGAGUACCCGCUGAACUUAA
Molecule: unclassified non-coding RNA, 300 nt
Filed under: uncultured fungus
Lineage: Eukaryota; Fungi
Description: sequence contains ITS1
Rfam family: 5.8S ribosomal RNA (bases 1-97)
Source: RNAcentral